AUGCAAGUCGAGCGAAGCGCUUUGGAAAGAUUCUUCGGAUGAUUUCCUUUGUGACUGAGCGGCGGACGGGUGAGUAACGCGUGGGUAACCUGCCUCAUACAGGGGGAUAACAGUUAGAAAUGACUGCUAAUACCGCAUAAGACCACGGUACCGCAUGGUACAGUGGUAAAAACUCCGGUGGUAUGAGAUGGACCCGCGUCUGAUUAGGUAGUUGGUGGGGUAACGGCCUACCAAGCCGACGAUCAGUAGCCGACCUGAGAGGGUGACCGGCCACAUUGGGACUGAGACACGGCCCAGACUCCUACGGGAGGCAGCAGUGGGGAAUAUUGCACAAUGGAGGAAACUCUGAUGCAGCGACGCCGCGUGAAGGAUGAAGUAUUUCGGUAUGUAAACUUCUAUCAGCAGGGAAGAAAAUGACGGUACCUGACUAAGAAGCCCCGGCUAACUACGUGCCAGCAGCCGCGGUAAUACGUAGGGGGCAAGCGUUAUCCGGAUUUACUGGGUGUAAAGGGAGCGUAGACGGCACGGCAAGCCAGAUGUGAAAGCCCGGGGCUCAACCCCGGGACUGCAUUUGGAACUGCUGAGCUAGAGUGUCGGAGAGGCAAGUGGAAUUCCUAGUGUAGCGGUGAA
RNAcentral lists this ribosomal RNA (630 nucleotides) under uncultured bacterium. RNAcentral's name for it is "bacterial SSU rRNA". It matches the Rfam family "Bacterial small subunit ribosomal RNA", at positions 55 to 685 of the family's 1533-position model. The record is from RNAcentral.